This is a long non-coding RNA of Cygnus olor (mute swan), 1367 nucleotides long. RefSeq lists it as uncharacterized. The record is from RefSeq and is a predicted model, not a curated record. Lineage: Eukaryota; Metazoa; Chordata; Aves; Anseriformes; Anatidae. The transcript is spliced from 2 exons.
GUAACUGAUGUGUUGCUCUUUUCUUGGCUAUCCUAGUGAAGAUGGGGGUGCUUGGUGAAAGCAGUUUGCCAGCAGCACCAGAACCACUCUGCUCCCUUGCCCUGCCUAGGGCACUUUGCUCUCCAGCAGCUACAGGACCAGAGGUAUAGAGAAUGCAUAGCUGCUACAUGAAGAUCGCUGGAGGACUGACAGCUCUCUUGUUCUCACUGCUGAAGAAAUGAGAGGAGAAGGCACAAGUCUCUGUCUUUACAGAAGCAAUGCCACAGACUGCUAAAGCACUCAUUUACAGCAUUGUGGGGUUCUCUGGAAUAUGUUUUCCAUGAACCAGAGAGGUAUGGAGAGAUAAUAAAGGAAAAAAGACAAUAUGAGUCUCCUUGAUCUUGCUUCUGCCACUGUCAGAAAAUCCCCCUGCCAACUUCAAACAUGACAGAAAAAGAGUGCAGAAAUGCAAGUGAGAGGAGGCAGUUUACUUAUUGAAAUAAACAGAGUAGGGAAAGCAGGAAAACAUUAAAAAGCAUAGAAUGAACUAGAGAAUUCUUAGUUUAAGAUUUCUUAAUGGAAAAGACGUGUAAUUUUUGUCACUAUUUCUGUAAGGUUUUCUGGAUUCUGUGAGGGAAGUACUGUUAUUCAGUUAAACAAGUAAAACUGGGUUUUCAUGCAUAUGGUCUUUGAAUUAUUAUUAUAGCAGACCUGAUGUGUGUAAGGAUUAGAGAAUGAAACUAAAAAAGAGCCCAAUCUUAAACACUAAUUUACUUAGUUACUAACAAGGAUUCUUCUUAAAAUACUGAAUUUACAAAGCAACUGGUGACUUCUGUGUAACCAACUUCAUAACCUUUCUGAAACCAUUGAGCACCCAUAGUGAAAAUCAGGCCCACUGGGGGCCUGAACAUUGUUUUACACAAAAUGAUUAUUUAUCCCUGUAAUUUUAAGACUGUUUUCAUCCCACAGUCACAGCAUGCUGAGUGUAUUAACUUGCUUCUGAAUCUGUGCUUGAUGGGAGGGGUCAUAUCUUGACCUUCCUUUGAAUGGCUGAACCACCAGUCCUGAUAGAGUAGUAACUAAAAAAACACAAAAAUUAAUUUAGAUGCUGUUUUCAGAGAUCUGAAUCUCCAGUCUUAUCACUUCUUCCCUGAAGAAGGCAACAUUUGGUGGCUUACGAUUUUAAAACUUAGUCUGUUUUCAAUGAGCCCGUUCUCAGAUCAUAAGAGGCUUACAGAUUUCUGGGAAUCACUUCUUCAGUAUUUUGCGUGUGUCAUUCCUGCUUCAUUGUUCUUUCAGUGUAAAGUUACAGCUAGAGAGGGAAGGAGGCAGUUGCACUCUACUUGUAAAAAAUGAUGACACUUUAAAGGGCACAAAACUUUUUUUUU